CACUACAAGAGCUGGGGACUUUUCUCUCUUCGGUUAGAGUCUGCUAGUGGUUAGUAUACGGACGCCUAGCUAGUAUUCCUCUGCAGCUCAACCGGGGUAUCGGCUCUCCGCCCGCUUGUCAACGGAAAAUUUUCGAUGGCGGCUCACUCCAUCCGAAGAAGGGCGGCAGGCUCCACGCCAGCGAGUAGGCCCACGCGGCCGCCAGGACGGCCAGCGCCCGCUUCCGGGACAGCACGCCGAUGGAGAUCCACCUCUUGUGCAUGCUGCUAGUGAAGAACACUGGCGCUUGAGUGACGCACAUCAGCAGGUCCGUCACAGCCAAGUUGAUGAUGAACAUGUUGGCCGGAGUGCGCAGGCUGCGGCUCCUGAAUGUGUGAAAUUGUUUAAAAUUAGCAAGAUGUGGAGAAAAUAAUAAGCAUUGAAGUUUAAAAAAAAAUAAAGAAACGACCAGAAACUACAACAUAAAGAAAUGAAAAAACUCAUUUGACAAUGUUAAACAUUUAAUCAUGAGUUUGUCACAGGUGGAUUGGAUCCAUUUAACCUGGCAGGGUUGGCAGCAAAUGCACAUCAGUCUAACUUCAAAAGUGGUGGAAUGUCACAAGUAAAAGUACUUUGUUACUGUACUAAAGUACAUUUUUGUGUAUCUGUACUUUAUUUCAGUACAAAAAAGAAGGGGUACUUUUUACUGUUACUUCACAACAUUUUAUAGCAUGUAUCUGUAUUUUUUACUCCACUAGUUUUUAAACUGUCGCCUGCGAUACACGUGACUUUGUUUCCUUUUUUUUUUUUUUUCAUUGUGAAUCGAUAAGCUCUGUGCAACUAUACCGCAAUUGAGCACUAGAAGCAGCAACACUAGUACAAGCAAGAUUAGGCAGGUGAACAAGAUAUUGACCAAUAAAAAACAGUGGUAUGCGCCUGAAAGUUGCUUCCAAUCUGCCAUUAAGCUAAGCUAAGAUUUGUUUUUGAGCUUGUCAAGCAUCUGUUCAAAGUGCAAUCAUUUUUUGUUUUUUUUCCCCAUUCUGCUCAUUUUGAAUGAAUGAAUUUAUUCUCAUUGUCAUCAUCACCAGUAUCAUUGACAGUUACAGAGUGUGGGAUAGUUUGGCCAGAAAGGAGAAACACUGACACAGAAUAUGGAAUAAUUUGCCCGAAAAAAGACGAUGACAGACAAAGGAAAACGGGAAAAAAGCAAAUGCUUAUCGAUACCCGUCCCCCAACAGCCUGGGACGCACAGUCUAGCAUGUUUGAGUUGCAUAGUCAAUUUUUUUACUCGUAUAGCUUUCAAAAAGUCAUUGAUUGCCAUGGCAUUUCGCAAUAUUGUCAAUUUGAGUAGGUUCAUUGGAUAGGUUGACUUCCAAGUUGGUGUAAGGAGGGAUGAAGCAAUGUUAUGUCUUAGUCUCUGUCCCUGACAUUUAAUCAUCCUUUGUUUGCCUUUUUGUUGUGGGAACAAUUUGUAGCGGAUGUGUGUGUGCAGUGCAGCUAUGACUCAUUUUGGUCCAUGUAGCGAUUUAGUAUAGUUUCUUUGUACAUCUUUUUGAAGUAACUCAAUGAUUUUAUACUCGUAAGCGCUGCAUCACAUGUAUUCCAUAGGCGAGCCCCAAUGUUCGUAAUCAAGAAAGAUUUUAAUGUUGUCCUAGUUGCCCGAAAACAAUCUGAUUCCUCUUAGGUCGUAGCUUGAUUCCCUUAGUUGGAAUAGAGCUUGUAGGUUAGGCGGGAGACUGUUUGCGUGGGCCUUGUACAUCAUUUGAGCAGUUUUGAAGUUAACCAAGUCAUAAAAUUUUAAUAGCUUGGACUUGAGGUAAAGUUCGUUUGUGUGCGCUCUGAACGGUGCUUUAUGAAUAAUCCUAACUGCCUUUUUUUGAAGGAUAA
This is a long non-coding RNA of Corythoichthys intestinalis (scribbled pipefish), 1866 nucleotides long. RefSeq lists it as uncharacterized. The transcript is spliced from 3 exons. Lineage: Eukaryota; Metazoa; Chordata; Actinopteri; Syngnathiformes; Syngnathidae. The record is from RefSeq and is a predicted model, not a curated record.